RNAcentral lists this ribosomal RNA (497 nucleotides) under uncultured bacterium. Its description in RNAcentral is "partial 16S ribosomal RNA". It matches the Rfam family "Bacterial small subunit ribosomal RNA", at positions 28 to 507 of the family's 1533-position model. The record is from RNAcentral.
GAUGAACGCUGGCGGCGUGCCUAAUACAUGCAAGUCGAACGAACAGAUGAGGAGCUUGCUCCUCUGACGUUAGCGGCGGACGGGUGAGUAACACGUGGAUAACCUACCUAUAAGACUGGGAUAACUUCGGGAAACCGGAGCUAAUACCGGAUAAUAUAUUGAACCGCAUGGUUCAAUAGUGAAAGACGGUUUUGCUGUCACUUAUAGAUGGAUCCGCGCCGCAUUAGCUAGUUGGUAAGGUAACGGCUUACCAAGGCAACGAUGCGUAGCCGACCUGAGAGGGUGAUCGGCCACACUGGAACUGAGACACGGUCCUGACUCCUACGGGAGGCAGCAGUAGGGAAUCUUCCGCAAUGGGCGAAAGCCUGACGGAGCAACGCCGCGUGAGUGAUGAAGGUCUUCGGAUCGUAAAACUCUGUUAUUAGGGAAGAACAAAUGUGUAAGUAACUAUGCACGUCUUGACGGUACCUAAUCAGAAAGCCACGGCUAACUACGUG